Molecule: ribosomal RNA, 370 nt
Filed under: uncultured Synergistaceae bacterium
Lineage: Bacteria; Thermotogati; Synergistota; Synergistia; Synergistales; Synergistaceae
Description: bacterial SSU rRNA
Rfam family: Bacterial small subunit ribosomal RNA
Source: RNAcentral
UUCGGGAAGCGAGCGUACACAGGUGCUGCAUGGCGUGUCGUCAGCUCGUGUCGUGAGAUGUUGGGUUAAGUCCCGGCAACGAGCGCAACCCCUGCAUUCAGUUGCCAUCGGGUAAUGCCGGGCACCCUGGAAGGACUGCCAUCGACAAGAUGGAGGAAGGUGGGGAUGACGUCAAGUCAUCAUGGCCCUUAUGUCCAGGGCGACACACGUGCUACAAUGGCCGGCACAACGGGAAGCGAGUUCGCGAGGACGAGCGGAUCCCUCAAAGCCGGUCGCAGUUCGGAUUGAAGUCUGCAACUCGACUUCAUGAAGCUGGAAUCGCUAGUAAUCGUGGAUCAGCCAAGCCGCGGUGAAUACGUUCCCGGGCCUU